UCCACCUUCCUCCUCGAGAUCCAACUGGCAGCACCUCUUCGAUAUGCUAGACUGUCAUCAGACUCAAGUCGUCACGACUUGAUCGAGUCGAUGCUCGUCUAAAUACCUUUGAUGUUCGAUUGCGUCGUAUGGAGGAUCACUGUGGCAUUGCUUCUUGACUACAUCCUACUCCUUGAACUAGUGGUGAUGAUCGAGAAUCUGUUGGAGCUAGCAGAGGAGGUGUUGGGCCUGCAUUUUGAGUAGCUCCUUAUGUCUUU
Molecule: long non-coding RNA, 257 nt
Filed under: Coffea arabica (coffee)
Lineage: Eukaryota; Viridiplantae; Streptophyta; Magnoliopsida; Gentianales; Rubiaceae
Description: long non-coding RNA (CARA_LNC005438)
Source: RNAcentral